UUUUACUGCACGUUUUAGGAUUUUUUUGCGUGAAUUAUCCCGUCAAAGGUUUCCGACAGACGGAUCUGGAGAAUGUUACCAUGGAGACAUAUCGUCGUUGCCAGGAGACGUCGCCAUUAAAUUUAGAUUUGAUGACCGGGCUACUCCUGCCCCGGCGACACAAGCAGUUCUCCUGCUGUGAUGUUGCCUGUCUUGCACGAAGGCUGACAGAAGGCUGUGAUCGGUCUCUGGACCGCUUCCGGUUGAUGCAUAAUUCUGAUGGACCCAUCUGGCUCUUCCAGAACUGAUGUAGCCACACGUCUGACUUUCAAAAGAGCACAUGGUGGGAAAAGAACACGAGCCUGUCACAAAGGCCACGUCAUCUACAGCCAACUGACCGUCGAAACCAGAGCGUACGGCCUCAAAAACCAACUGCACAUGGAAGAGAGAAACAUAAAGACUUAAGGAAAGACUAAAAGAAUAGUCAGACACAUUUUACAAUUCAAUGUAUGCUACAUUCAUAAAAAUAAAUAAAUAAAUGCUUUUGU
Long non-coding RNA from Triplophysa dalaica, 527 nucleotides. RefSeq lists it as uncharacterized. The transcript has 3 exons. NCBI's taxonomy places the organism in Eukaryota, Metazoa, Chordata, Actinopteri, Cypriniformes, Nemacheilidae. The record is from RefSeq and is a predicted model, not a curated record.